UGACGCCAUGGAGCCCUCUAGAGGCUCCAACUCCACUUACGAGUGAGGGCCCCAGCAACCCAGCGUAGGCACGGUGCGGGCGCGGCGGACCUGGCCGCUCCGAUCCCGUCCAUCCUGGCAGGGGCACCAGCGGCCCUUGCGACCCCGCCGUGCCCAGCGGUGCGGGCAGUGGGCUCGACCUCCACCACACCUUACCCAACCGCGCUGCACCGUUCGGCUACCUUGCCGUCGGCCUGACCCUGACUCACUCGCCAAUCGUCAACCUCCAACCAGCGUGAAGCCCGUGAAUUCAUUCCAAGUCACAUGCUUAUGCGUUCUCCUUCAAUCAAUGCUUUUCCAACUUCCUCUACCAGAACAUGCAGGCAAGGCACUCGAUUAAAUGCCCCUCCUAAGAUACUGCAGCAGAUUUGAAGUACAAACUGCAGUAUUCCAUCCUCCAUUUAUUUAAAAUGUUCUAUGAAUUUCAUGGUUCCAUGUUUUGAGUAUAUUGAUCUGCUACAAUAACAUUGAUUUUCAAAUAAAAUAGAGUAUGCAUUAGUCAUAUCAGAGCCAUGGGAAGAUUAAAAACAACCAUCUACAAAUAGAAAUUCCAAUGGAGCUUUUUUUUUGAGAAAUAUCAAAACCUCCACUAAUUUUUUCUUACUUUUUUGUACUCUAUAUAUAACUAUUCUAUAAACUAGGAGUACAGGCAGUAAGUACUGUUCUACUAUGUUUCUUCCGCCGGUCACCAUUCCAGAGGAUUUGAGACAUGAUUUAUGUUCAUCUUAUCUUAUAUAAAUAAUACACCUCUUGUAUGAAUGUUACUUGAUCUGCAUGAUACUAGAUUUAUUUAGUUAAUAUUAAUCCUAGAAGGAUGCCAUUAUAGCAUAUACUAAAUGUGCUGGCAGAAGAUUAUUUCAAAUGUCUACUCAGUUGUUUGUAGUUUGAAUCCGUGAAAUUGUAUUCUUCAGAUCCAACAACUUUCCAUGUUCAAAGCGAAAAUGUUGAGUGAAAGUAGAAAGGUGUCCCAAGAAGAACAAGCCUCGAGAACAAAUCAGCUCUUCAAGAAAUAAGGCACGAUGUACUUAGCCAUGAAGACUUAGGAUGAUCGGCAAAUUUCUCUAAUUUCUAUGUAGUGAUUUGAAGAGAAGACUUUGUAUGAUCGGCAAUUUUCUCUAAUUUCUAUGUAGUGAUUUGUAAUUAUCCGUACAAAGCAAAUAGUAUGUGGCUCAGGUGUGUGCUAUGGUAGUUCAAUAAAAUUUAUUAUUGUACCGAUGAUUUAAUAAGUUAUAUGAAUCACUGUCACAGCUACAUAUCCUGGACUGGUCCUCAACACAGAGCACUGGUUAAUUCUAUUUUUUGAACACUGACUCUAGUUAUUCAGAAAACGAGCUUACAUCUGAAGUCUGAACUCAAUCUGAUGUUCAAUUGUGUUUUAAUCUGAAUCUGACGAUGUUACGUUUUGCACAG
Molecule: long non-coding RNA, 1449 nt
Filed under: Sorghum bicolor (sorghum)
Lineage: Eukaryota; Viridiplantae; Streptophyta; Magnoliopsida; Poales; Poaceae
Description: long non-coding RNA (SBIC_LNC011326)
Source: RNAcentral